Long non-coding RNA from Trichomycterus rosablanca, 975 nucleotides. RefSeq lists it as uncharacterized. The record is from RefSeq and is a predicted model, not a curated record. NCBI's taxonomy places the organism in Eukaryota, Metazoa, Chordata, Actinopteri, Siluriformes, Trichomycteridae. The transcript is spliced from 5 exons.
UUUUAGACUUGAAAUAAGCAAUAUACAUUUGCAUGUUGUGUGAAAACGAAUGUAAUACUCUUCUUGCCUUUACCCAGCACUUGAAAGUGCAUAAAAAUGCACCAAAUCCACCGGACCUACUGUACUGGUACCAUGCAUUGUUCUUCUGCUAAUGGCAUACUUUAAGGAGAAGUCUGAUGGACUGAUUUUUGAAGUUGAUGCCAUGGACACACCGGCCACUUUCUUUGCCAGACUCUCCAAGACUGAUUUUUCAAGCAGGCCUGGCAGCUUUGUUUGACUCAUUCUAUAAUUUCAACCUGGAAUACCAAGAGGAAGCCUCAUGCACUCUCGAAUUCAUCUAAAGGUGCUUUGUGGGGAUUAACCCAACCACUGGCUCCAAGAACUCUGCUGAAAAGGUUAUCAGCAAAAAAGUGGCAAAGUAGUGGAGAAAAAGAAACACUCAAUGAAUGCUAAUGUUUGCAGUCUUCUAAGAAAACUAAUGGAUUUUGAGUAAUGUCCUUCUGAUGGAAACCUGUUUACCUGCCCGAGAUUAAGGAAUAAAGUCAAGACUGCCGUGCCAACAAUGCUGCUCCUGCCGGAUGUGACGGGACCUGAAGUGUUUGCACCAAGGAUGUCAAGAACUCACUACAGACUUUAUUACAGACUGGACUGAAUAAUAACUCUAUUAUUAUUUAUUUGCUAGUUAUAACUUUUAGUUCAUUUUAAUUCUGUGUUUGUAUGAUUUGUGUAAAUACUAUUUAUUUAAAGUAUCCCCCAGACCACCCUAGAAGGAUGGGCCCUGCUGAGUCUGGUUCCUCUCAAGGUUUCUUCCUGUAAUUUUAAGGGAGUUUUUCCUUGCCACUCUCGCCCUCGGCUUGCUCAACAGGAGUUUUUGUAUCUGUUGGUCCUGGAUCUUGUAAAGUUGCUUUGAGACAAUUGUCUCUGUAAUUGUCUAUUGUAAAAAGCGCUAUAUAAAUAAAGUUGACUUGACUUGAA